This is a long non-coding RNA of Lingula anatina, 432 nucleotides long. RefSeq lists it as uncharacterized. The record is from RefSeq and is a predicted model, not a curated record. NCBI's taxonomy places the organism in Eukaryota, Metazoa, Brachiopoda, Lingulata, Lingulida, Lingulidae.
GCAACAAGUUUGUCAUUUUGUCAACCUUCGCCGUUCUCGGUCCUUCUCGCGUUAGGUACAGGAAGAUAAAUACGAGAAUUUGCGCGAAAAAAAACGUAAUGUGUUCUUUGUGGAUUUUUGAAAAGUUGCUAGUAUUAACCUACAGCUAGUAUCAACUUAUCCAGUUUCGAAUGCAGAAAUAUACCCAGCAAUGAGCUUGUCACCGUAUGAAACCCCAGGACCUGAAAUAGAAAUACCAUUUGGUUAGUUGAUUCCAUUUUAUUAUGAAAGGAACUGAAAUGAGUAGAAAAUGCGUUUCACACAGAUCCAAACCUUGUCUCCCCAACUGCAGCUUCACUGACCAAGAAUUAACUUUCUGCGACAAGAAUUAUGAAAGCAAUUUACAAGAAUGGCCAACUGCUGCCUUCCAUGUUUAUUUCAAAUGAGAAGAAA